RNAcentral lists this ribosomal RNA (246 nucleotides) under uncultured bacterium. RNAcentral describes it as "partial 16S ribosomal RNA". It matches the Rfam family "Bacterial small subunit ribosomal RNA", at positions 532 to 776 of the family's 1533-position model. The record is from RNAcentral.
GUGCGAGCGUUAAUCGGAAUUACUGGGCGUAAAGCGUGCGCAGGCGGUUAUUUACGUCAGGUGUGAGAGCCCUGGGCUUAACCUAGGAAUUGCGCUUGAGACUGGAUAGCUUGGAGUGCGGCAGAGGGGGGUAGAAUUCCACGUGUAGCAGUGAAAUGCGUAGAUAUGUGGAGGAAUACCGAUGGCGAAGGCAGCCCCCUGGGAUAACACUGAUGCUCAUGCACGAAAGCGUGGGGAGCAAACAGG